This 492-nucleotide ribosomal RNA is filed under the name uncultured bacterium. RNAcentral describes it as "partial 16S ribosomal RNA". It matches the Rfam family "Bacterial small subunit ribosomal RNA", at positions 29 to 507 of the family's 1533-position model. The record is from RNAcentral.
AGUGAACGCUGGCGGUAGGCCUAACACAUGCAAGUCGAACGGCAGCACAGUAAGAGCUUGCUCUUACGGGUGGAGAGUGGCGGACGGGUGAGGAAUACAGCGGAAUCUACUUUUUCGUGGGGGCUAACGUAGGGAAACUUCCGCUAAUAACGCAUACGACCUACGGGUGAAAGCAGAGGAUCUUCGGACCUUGCGCGAUUGAAUGAGACGAUGUAGGAUUAGCUAGUUGGCGGGGUAACGGCCCACCAAGGCGACGAUCGGUAGCUGGUCUGAGAGGAUGAUCAGCCACACUGGAACGGAGACACGGUCCAGACUCCUACGGGAGGCAGCGGUGGGGAAUAUUGGACAAGGGGCGCAAGCCUGAUCCAGCCAUACCGCGUGGGUGAAGAAAGCCUUCCGGUUGUAAAGCCCUUUUGUUGGGAAAGAAAAGCAGCAGGUUAAUACCCCGCUGUUCUGACGGUACCCAAAGAAUAAGCACCGGCUAACUUCGUG